This 146-nucleotide unclassified non-coding RNA is filed under the name soil metagenome. RNAcentral's name for it is "partial internal transcribed spacer 1". The record is from RNAcentral.
UAAUAAGUAGUUUUAUGGCACUUUUUAAAUCCAUAUCCACCUUGUGUGCAAUGUCAGUCGAUCUUCUUCAUGGAGAUCGACCAAACAUCAACCUUUAUCUUUUAACUCUUUGUCUGAAAAAUAUUAUGAAUAAACAAUUCAAAAUA